Molecule: non-coding RNA, 29 nt
Filed under: Rattus norvegicus (Norway rat)
Lineage: Eukaryota; Metazoa; Chordata; Mammalia; Rodentia; Muridae
Source: RNAcentral
CUAAUCCUUAGAGGACAUGAUGAGAUUGC